RNAcentral lists this ribosomal RNA (536 nucleotides) under uncultured bacterium. RNAcentral describes it as "partial 16S ribosomal RNA". It matches the Rfam family "Bacterial small subunit ribosomal RNA", at positions 355 to 883 of the family's 1533-position model. The record is from RNAcentral.
UGGGGAAUUUUGGACAAUGGGCGAAAGCCUGAUCCAGCAAUGCCGCGUGUGUGAAGAAGGCCUUCGGGUUGUAAAGCACUUUUGUCCGGAAAGAAAUCCUUGGCUCUAAUACAGUCGGGGGAUGACGGUACCGGAAGAAUAAGCACCGGCUAACUACGUGCCAGCAGCCGCGGUAAUACGUAGGGUGCAAGCGUUAAUCGGAAUUACUGGGCGUAAAGCGUGCGCAGGCGGUUUGCUAAGACCGAUGUGAAAUCCCCGGGCUCAACCUGGGAACUGCAUUGGUGACUGGCAGGCUAGAGUAUGGCAGAGGGGGGUAGAAUUCCACGUGUAGCAGUGAAAUGCGUAGAGAUGUGGAGGAAUACCGAUGGCGAAGGCAGCCCCCUGGCAAGUACUGACGCUCAUGCACGAAAAGCGUGGGGAGCAAACAGGAUUAGAUACCCUGGUAGUCCACGCCCUAAAACGAUGUCAACUAGUUGUUGGGGAUUCAUUUUCCUAGNAACGUAGCUAACGCGUGAAGUUGACCGCCUGGGGAGUAC